AGCUAGUUAGGUGCAAUUGAUAGAAAUGUCAUCGCAUACUUUUUAGAAAAGUAAAGAUUUAGUGAAGAGCAGGAGCUAUA
This 80-nucleotide small RNA is filed under the name Flavobacterium sp. 5. RNAcentral describes it as "Flavo-1 RNA". The record is from RNAcentral. Lineage: Bacteria; Pseudomonadati; Bacteroidota; Flavobacteriia; Flavobacteriales; Flavobacteriaceae.